UGCUUGGCGACGUCCUACAAGUCGAGCAGGGACGAAAGUCGGGCUUAGUGAUCCGGUGGUUCCGCAUGGAAGGGCCAUCGCUCAACGGAUAAAAGCUACCCCGGGGAUAACUUGCUUAUCUCCCCCAAGAUUCCACAUCGACGGGGAGGUUUGUCACCUCGAUGUCGGCUCAUCGCAUCCUGGGGCUGUAGUCGGUCCCA
RNAcentral lists this ribosomal RNA (200 nucleotides) under Bacillus cereus. RNAcentral describes it as "partial 23S ribosomal RNA". It matches the Rfam family "Bacterial large subunit ribosomal RNA", at positions 2366 to 2567 of the family's 2925-position model. The record is from RNAcentral. Lineage: Bacteria; Bacillati; Bacillota; Bacilli; Caryophanales; Bacillaceae.